Molecule: ribosomal RNA, 2187 nt
Filed under: Isochrysis galbana
Lineage: Eukaryota; Haptophyta; Isochrysidales; Isochrysidaceae
Description: partial Bacterial large subunit ribosomal RNA
Rfam family: Bacterial large subunit ribosomal RNA
Source: RNAcentral
ACCGAUAGUGAACCAGUACCGUGAGGGAAAGGUGAAAAGAACCCCGGGAGGGGAGUGAAAUAGAACAUGAAACCGUAAGUUUACAAGCAGUAGAAGAGCGACUUAACGCUCGACUUCGUGCCUGUUGAAGAAUGAGCUGGCGACUUGUAGGUUGUGGCAAGGUUAAGGUAAGAAAAUACUGGAGCCAGAGUGAAAGCGAGCUUGAUAAGAGCGUUAAGUCACAGUUUACAGACCCGAACCCGGAUGAUCUAACCAUGGCCAGUGUGAAGCUUAGGUAACACUAAGUAGAGGUACGAACCGACUGUUGUUGAAAAAACAGCGGAUGAGUUGUGGUUAGGGGUGAAAUUCCAAUCGAAUCCGGAGCUAGCUGGAUCUCCCCGAAAUGCGUUGAGGCGCAGCGACUAAUGUUUCUUCUUAGGGGUAAAGCUACUGUUUUGGUGCGGGCUGCGAGAGCGGUACCAAAUCAAUGCAAACUCUGAAUACUAAGACGUUUAAUUAGUUAGUGAGAUAUUGGGGGAUAAGCUUCAAUAUCAAGAGGGAAACAGCCCAGAUUAUCAGUUAAGGCCCCUAAAUAAUUACUAAGUGGCAAAGGAGGUGGGAGUGCAUAGACAAUCAGGAGGUUUGCUUAGAAGCAGCAAUCCUUUAAAGAGUGCGUAAUAGCUCACUGUUCGAGUGCUCCUGCGCCGAAAAUGAAUGGGACUAAGUAAUUUGCCGAAGCUGUAAGAUGUUUUAACAUCGGUAGGGGAGCGUUCUACAUUAGAUUGAAGCGUUAGCGAAAGCGGGCGUGGACAAAGUAGAAGUGAGAAUGUUAGCUUGAGUAGCGAAAACAUUGGUGAGAAUCCAAUGCCCCGAAAACCCAAGGGUUCCUCCGGAAGGCUCGUCCGCGGAGGGUGAGUCAGGUCCUAAGGUGAGGCUAGUAGCGUAAUCGAUGGAUAACAGGUUAAUAUUCCUGUACUGUUUAUUGUUGGUAAAGGGGGACGGAGAAGGCUAAAUCGACCGAAUGUUGGUUAUCGGCUUAAGUACUCGAGGUAAUGAGAAUUGGUGAAAACAAUUUGAGCUGAGAUACGAAUAGGAAAGUGUUAAGACACUGAACCGAUUGAUGUCAUACUUCCAAGAAAAGCCCUAUCUACCAUAAACAAUAAAUACCUGUACCCGAAACCGACACAGGUGGGUAAGUAGAGAAUACUAAGGGGCGCGAGAUAACUCUCUCUAAGGAACUCGGCAAAAUGGCCUCGUAACUUCGGGAGAAGAGGUGCCUUUAAAAAGGCUGCAAUAACCAGACGCUGGCGACUGUUUAUCAAAAACACAAGUCUCCGCAAAGUCGUAAGACGAUAUAUGGGGGCUGACACCUGCCCAGUGCCGGAAGGUUAAGGAAGCUUGUUAGUCUUUGACGAAGCUCGCGACCGAAGCCCCGGUGAACGGCGGCCGUAACAAUAACGGUCCUAAGGUAGCGAAAUUCCUUGUCGGGUAAGUUCCGACCUGCACGAAUGGCGUAACGACUUCCCCACUGUCUCCAGCAUCGACUCAGCGAAAUUGAAUUGCCCGUGAAGAUGCGGGCUACCCGCGGUUAGACGGAAAGACCCCGUGCACCUUUACUACAGCUUUACAUUGGCAUUAGUGACGACAUGUGUAGGAUAGGUGGUAGACUUUGAAGCCCGGGCGCUAGCUCGAGUGGAGUCACCCUUGAAAUACCACCCUUGUCCUUAUUGAUGUCUAACCACGGCGCUACAACGCCUGGGACAAUGUAUGGUGGGUAGUUUGACUGGGGCGGUCGCCUCCCAAAGAGUAACGGAGGCGCGCGAUGGUAGGCUCAGGCUGGUCGGAAACCAGCUGUAGAGUGCAAUGGCAUAAGCCUGCCUGACUGCGAGACUGACAAGUCGAGCAGAGACGAAAGUCGGUCAUAGUGAUCCGGUGGUCCCGCGUGGAAGGGCCAUCGCUCAACGGAUAAAAGGUACGCCGGGGAUAACAGGCUGAUCUCCCCCAAGAGCUCAUAUCGACGGGGAGGUUUGGCACCUCGAUGUCGGCUCGUCGCAUCCUGGGGCGGUAGUACGUCCCAAGGGUUGGGCUGUUCGCCCAUUAAAGUGGCACGCGAGCUGGGUUCAGAACGUCGUGAGACAGUUCGGUCCCUAUCUGCCGUGGGUGUAGGAGAAUUGAGUGGAGUUGCCCCUAGUACGAGAGGACCGGGGU